UCAGCUGCAACCCUCUGCAGCGAUCCCGCAGCAGAGCCGAGCGGUGCGCCGGGAGCGGCGCGGUCCCAUGCCCGUGACGGCCGCACGUUCAGCUCAGUGCGCGGAUGCGGAGCGCACAGCGGAGACGGAGGUUCUGUUGCUAGACAACAGGGAGAGAUCACCCCUGGGGCUCCUGCACCCGCUCUGGCUCCCCAUCCCCCUGUAGUUGGUACAGAUCAACAGAAGCCUGGAAUACUGUGAGUAGAAGAAAGCUCUUCUCAUACUCAUGUAUCUUUCUGCGGAGAAAAUCCAUUUAAACCAGCACUAAGCCAAAACAGAAUUACCGUCCAUUUACUACACCAACACCAUGUGUUGAGGUGGGAGUGCACUGGACAUCACUUUACACCUCAAGUGUAUGAAGGGAUUGCAAGAGGCUUGUAGAUGUGCUGACAUGCAAAGCGUUGUUUCCCAUAGGAUGCUGAAACAUUCAGGUAUUCAACUAGUGCACAUUCCUCAUUACUUUAGAUCCUGCAGCAAUUCCUAUUCGAUGCCUUCAGGCACGGUAUGGCAGUACGAUACAUCCCAUCAGAAAGCAGAGCAAUGCCACUGCUCAGCAGAUGUUUGACACGGAGUACCAUGCCAGCCAGCAGCACCACACCAUACCAGAAAUGAUUUUGACACAACACAGUGUCAGUGCCGCAGAGCAAAACUAGCGUGUUCCAAAAAUAGGGACAAAUUCACCUCUGGCACAAGUAGAAGUAACUGCAGUGACUUCAUUAGAUUUGCAUCUGCUUAUGUCAACAAUGAAUCUGGCCCGUAAUCUGGAAUUUACAUAGAAGAGCGGUAAGUGACUGUGUUUUCAGAGAUCUUAUACAACGUUUUGCUCCAGCACUCAGCAUCAUGAGGCGGCUGGGGUAAAGCCACCACCUCUCUCAGCAGUUUCCUUUCCACCCCACAAGAAGCAGCAUCAAGUUUCCAUUUUUAGCAGUGUAACAGUGCCCCAGAGUAUACAGUGUCACUUUAGAGGCAUGGGCAGUUCCGAAUUUGGAGAUUUCUCAAGGAGUAAGAACACUAAGUAAAUAAAUAAAUAAAAUAAUGGAAUAGAAGAGGGUCUCUGCUUUCCACUUCCACACUGUUUCACAAUGUUCACUUUAAGCAUUAGGGACCCAGGAACUGAGGCAAACCAUAAAAUUUCAAUGAGGGACGGUGCAAUAGUAAAAUAAAGAUAUGAAAUAAGGAACUUGGCUGAAAUGUUGCAGUGUCAGAUCUGAUGAGAUAUGGAGGCUUUCCAAAAAGAAACUGUAAUGUACUGGUGCUCCCUUUCACCACCUGGGAGCAGAAAACACAGCAUAGUGGUGCAAACGCAUGACACCGACAAAGGGAGAGAAGGGAGCAGACCAGGCUGAUAUGAGAUAUUCACAGCGGAGCAACACGCGUGGUCCUUGCUUUAAUCUGUCACUUUAAUAGGGAACAUUAGUUGAAAUACAAGCCAUUCAGUUGAGUGUAUUCAUCUUUGCUGUGUAUUCGAGUUGCUUAAACCCAUCAGGCUGCGUUACUAGAUGAACUCCAGCAGUGCUAAGUGCUAACAAAGA
Molecule: long non-coding RNA, 1571 nt
Organism: Tympanuchus pallidicinctus (lesser prairie-chicken)
Lineage: Eukaryota; Metazoa; Chordata; Aves; Galliformes; Phasianidae
Exons: 2
Source: RefSeq, a predicted model, not a curated record